This 202-nucleotide long non-coding RNA is filed under the name Lathyrus oleraceus (garden pea). RNAcentral's name for it is "Pisum sativum (pea) long non-coding RNA (PSAT_LNC004117)". Lineage: Eukaryota; Viridiplantae; Streptophyta; Magnoliopsida; Fabales; Fabaceae. The record is from RNAcentral.
UCUCCUUUUUUAUAUUUCUCGUAUUUACAUAACUCAUCUUAUAUUAUCGCAUUUGGAAUAUUAUAUAAACUACAUCUAUACAUUGAUAUUUCUACUUUUAUCUAUAUAUGUCUUAUUUUUCAUUUUAUUUGCAUUUUUUAUUUUUCAGUUAUUUAUUUAUUUAUUAGUCUAAUAUUUAAUUUUUGUUUCAUUUUUAUUUUUG